RNAcentral lists this ribosomal RNA (440 nucleotides) under uncultured bacterium. Its description in RNAcentral is "partial 16S ribosomal RNA". It matches the Rfam family "Bacterial small subunit ribosomal RNA", at positions 338 to 795 of the family's 1533-position model. The record is from RNAcentral.
CCUACGGGAGGCAGCAGUGGGGGAUAUUGCACAAUGGGGGAAACCCUGAUGCAGCGACGCCGCGUGUGGGAAGACGGUCCUCUGGAUUGUAAACCACUGUCCCCAGGGACGAAGAUGACGGUACCUGGGGAGGAAGCUCCGCCUAACUACGUGCCAGCAGCCGCGGUAAUCCGUGGGGAGCACGCGUUGUCCGGAAUUACUGGGUGUAAGGGGAGCUUAAGCUGGGAGGCAAGUUGGGUGUCAAAACUACCGGCUAAACCGGUAGUCGCACUGAAAACUGCAGGGCUUGAGUGAAGUAGAGGCAGGCGGAAUUCCUAGUGUAGCGGUGAAAUGCGUAGAUAUUAGGAGGAACACCAGUGGCGAAGGCGGCCUGCUGGGCUUUUACUGACGCUGAGGCUCGAAAGUGUGGGGAGCAAACAGGAUUAGAUACCCCAGUAGUC